CAGCCGCCGCGGUAAUACGUAGGUGGCAAGCGUUGUCCGGAAUUAUUGGGCGUAAAGCGCGCGCAGGUGGUUUAAUAAGUCUGAUGUGAAAGCCCACGGCUCAACCGUGGAGGGUCAUUGGAAACUGUUAAACUUGAGUGCAGGAGAGAAAAGUGGAAUUCCUAGUGUAGCGGUGAAAUGCGUAGAGAUUAGGAGGAACACCAGUGGCGAAGGCGGCUUCUUGGCCUGUAACUGACACUGAGGCGCGAAAGCGUGGGGAGCAAACAGGAUUAGAUACCCCGGUAGUCCCUGUCUCUUAUAC
Molecule: ribosomal RNA, 301 nt
Filed under: uncultured bacterium
Lineage: Bacteria
Description: partial 16S ribosomal RNA
Rfam family: Bacterial small subunit ribosomal RNA
Source: RNAcentral